GCUGGGCAUGGUGGUGCACGCCUGUAAUCCCAGCUACCUGGGAGGCUGAGGCACAAGAAUCACUUGAACCCAGGAGGUGGAGGUUGCAGUGAGCCAGGAUCACACCACUGCACUCCAGCCUGGGUGACAGAGUGAGACUCUGUCUCCA
RNAcentral lists this non-coding RNA (148 nucleotides) under Gorilla gorilla gorilla (western lowland gorilla). Lineage: Eukaryota; Metazoa; Chordata; Mammalia; Primates; Hominidae. The record is from Rfam by way of RNAcentral.